RNAcentral lists this ribosomal RNA (465 nucleotides) under Vreelandella stevensii. RNAcentral describes it as "partial 16S ribosomal RNA". It matches the Rfam family "Bacterial small subunit ribosomal RNA", at positions 338 to 795 of the family's 1533-position model. Lineage: Bacteria; Pseudomonadati; Pseudomonadota; Gammaproteobacteria; Oceanospirillales; Halomonadaceae. The record is from RNAcentral.
CCUACGGGUGGCAGCAGUGGGGAAUAUUGGACAAUGGGGGGAACCCUGAUCCAGCCAUGCCGCGUGUGUGAAGAAGGCCCUUGGGUUGUAAAGCACUUUCAGUGAGGAAGAACGCCUGGUGGUUAAUACCCAUCAGGAAAGACAUCACUCACAGAAGAAGCACCGGCUAACUCCGUGCCAGCAGCCGCGGUAAUACGGAGGGUGCGAGCGUUAAUCGGAAUUACUGGGCGUAAAGCGCGCGUAGGUGGCUUGAUAAGCCGGUUGUGAAAGCCCCGGGCUCAACCUGGGAACGGCAUCCGGAACUGUCAAGCUAGAGUGCAGGAGAGGAAGGUAGAAUUCCCGGUGUAGCGGUGAAAUGCGUAGAGAUCGGGAGGAAUACCAGUGGCGAAGGCGGCCUUCUGGACUGACACUGACACUGAGGUGCGAAAGCGUGGGUAGCAAACAGGAUUAGAUACCCUUGUAGUC